GGCAACCUGCUGGGGUCGUCUUCCAUAGUGUGGCAGCUUUGUUCUUUUGCUCUGUGCUGUAACUCUUGCUACUGCUCACUGUUUGGGUCCACACUGCUUUUAUGAGCUGUAACACUCACCGCAAAGGUCUGCAGCUUCACUCCUGAAGCCAGUGAGACCACGAGCUCACCAGGAGGAACGAACAACUCCAGAUGCGCCACCUUAAGAGCUGUAACGCCUUAAGAGCUGUAACACCGCGAAAGUCUGCAGUUUCACUUCUGAGCCAGCGAGAUGCGAACCCACCAGAAGGAAGAAACUCCAAACACAUCCGAACAUCAGAAGGAACAAACUCCAGAUGCGCCACUGUAAGAGCUGUAACACUCACCGCGAGGGUAUGCGGCUUCAUUCUUGAAGUCAGUGAGACCAAGAACCCACCAAUUCCGGACACAUUACCACUUGUAUAUUUCUGAAUCUACAGUUCUCUUCCAGGUUUUAGACUAAACAUGCUUUUUCUUCUAGUGGUGGGCCUAAAGAAAAAUGGGCGUUUCUCCAGUUAAUUUUCUUAUUCUUGUAGCUAUAUUUUUAAAAAUGUUGAGUUCUGUGUUAAUAAAAAAAAACCUGUAAUCGGUAAGCAUUUAUCUCUCAAGUAGCUGGUAAUAUUUAUAAAAUAAACAGGAAUUUCAGAACAGUUUUAGAUUUACAGAAAAAUCACAAAGAUAGUACAGAGAUCCCAUAUACCACACACAUCUUCCCCUAUAUACCACACACAUCUUCCCCUAUUAUUAGUAUCUUUUUUUUAGUGCACUUGCCACAAUUAAUGAACUAAUAUUAAUGCAUCAUUGACAAAAGUCUAUAAUUUAUUGAGAUUUCCUUAAUGUUGCCUAAUUUCCUUAUCCUGUUCCAGGAUUCCAUCAGUAUGUCAUAUUACAUUUAGUAAUCAUGUCUUCUUAGGAUCCUUUUUGCUGUGACAGUUUCUCAGACUAACUUAGAUUUUAAUGGCUUUGACAAUUUUCAGUAGUACUAGUCAGCUUUUUUGCAGGAUGUUCUUCUGUUGGGAUGUGUCUGAUCAUUUUUUUUUUCUCAUCAUUAUUAGCCUGGAUUUAUGGGUAUUGGAGAGGAAGUCCUCAGAAGUAAAGUGUCAUUUCAUCAUAUCAUGAGCAUAUACUAUCACUGGGAUUGAUAGUUUAUCAGGCUUCUCCACUGCAAAGUUAAUUUUUUCUUCCCUUAGCAUUGUACUCUUUUCACAUUGUAUUGGAAUUGUCUAUACAUAGCCCAUGCUUAAGGAGUGAUGAGUCAUGCUUCACCUCGUUGAUAGCAAAAAGUAUCACAUAAAUUAUUUGUAAUUCUUCUGUAUGGAGUUGUACCUUUUCUCCUCUAUUUAUUCAACCACUUCUUUAUCAAUGUGAACUCAUGGAUUAUUAUUUUAAAACUUGGGUUAUAAACCAAUACUACUGUUUUGUUGUCCAGAUUGUUCCAUCUUUAGACAAUGGAAGGUCUCUCAGUUGACUCCUGUGUUUCUUUGACAUAUCCUCAUCAUCCUAUCAUUUCUUCUGUUUCUUUUUUUUAAAAACAAUCUCUUAUUUUCAGACGCUACAUGAUGCUCCAAACUCAUCUCAUGUAUUUCCUUCCCAAAACUUACAAACAGCCUAUUUUCCAAAGAGCAGAUUUGUUUCUUUUUUUCUGAUCCCCACGUGUGAGAGUACCUGUUGCUCCACAUCCUCACCAGCAAUUUUCAGCGUUUUGAAUUUUAUCAAAAUAUUAUUAUACAACACGGAAGUUUUAAUUAAGAAGGGACUAAUAUCAUUAAGAAUAGCC
Molecule: long non-coding RNA, 1794 nt
Filed under: Homo sapiens (human)
Lineage: Eukaryota; Metazoa; Chordata; Mammalia; Primates; Hominidae
Description: HSALNT0307859
Source: RNAcentral